RNAcentral lists this long non-coding RNA (304 nucleotides) under Triticum aestivum (bread wheat). RNAcentral describes it as "long non-coding RNA (TAES_LNC024081)". Lineage: Eukaryota; Viridiplantae; Streptophyta; Magnoliopsida; Poales; Poaceae. The record is from RNAcentral.
UUACACCCAUAGCCCCUACUGCUACACAAACUGGACCAAUUAAUAAAGCUCGUGAAUGCCAAUUAAAUUAUCAGGUACUUUUGUUUCUUCUAACUAUUUCUAAUGUUCAUGGGAAAAUGAUGUUGCCUAACUUAGAUACUUUUGUAUUGCAUAGGAAUGAAGGGCCUAACGUGGACAAGAGGGGUGAGCAUUGAAGCAUGAUCAAGCAUGGAGAGAAAGGCGCGCACGCAGGAAACAAGAAUGGAGCUUCAAGUGGAGAUUACAUGACUUUGAAGCCGCCAUGAUGACGUAUGAAGACUUGGAC